GCCAGGGUAGCUCAGUGGCAGAGCAACGGUUUCGUAAACCGUAGGUCAUGGGUUCAAAUCCCAUUCCUGGCU
Molecule: transfer RNA, 72 nt
Filed under: Candidatus Wildermuthbacteria bacterium RIFCSPHIGHO2_01_FULL_45_20
Lineage: Bacteria; Candidatus Wildermuthiibacteriota
Also listed under: 1 other name
Description: tRNA-Thr
Rfam family: tRNA
About the family: Transfer RNA (tRNA) molecules are approximately 80 nucleotides in length. Their secondary structure includes four short double-helical elements and three loops (D, anti-codon, and T loops).
Source: RNAcentral